UGGGCCCAUGGUCUAGUUGGUCAUGACGUCACCCUCACACGGUGGAGGUCCUGGGUUCAAAUCCCAGUGGGCCCAU
RNAcentral lists this transfer RNA (76 nucleotides) under Euryarchaeota archaeon ADurb.Bin023. RNAcentral's name for it is "tRNA-Val". It matches the Rfam family "tRNA". Rfam says of the family: Transfer RNA (tRNA) molecules are approximately 80 nucleotides in length. Their secondary structure includes four short double-helical elements and three loops (D, anti-codon, and T loops). The record is from RNAcentral. Lineage: Archaea; Methanobacteriati; Methanobacteriota.